GACGAACGCUGGCGGCGUGCCUAAUACAUGCAAGUAGAACGCUGAAGAGAGGAGCUUCCUCUUCUUGGAUGAGUUGCGAACGGGUGAGUAACGCGUAGGUAACCUGCCUUGUAGCGGGGGAUAACUAUUGGAAACGAUAGCUAAUACCGCAUAACAAUGGAUGACACAUGUCAUUUAUUUGAAAGGGGCAAUUGCUCCACUACAAGAUGGACCUGCGUUGUAUUAGCUAGUAGGUGAGGUAAUGGCUCACCUAGGCGACGAUACAUAGCCGACCUGAGAGGGUGAUCGGCCACACUGGGACUGAGACACGGCCCAGACUCCUACGGGAGGCAGCAGUAGGGAAUCUUCGGCAAUGGGGGCAACCCUGACCGAGCAACGCCGCGUGAGUGAAGAAGGGUUUCGGAUCGUAAAGCUCUGUUGUAAGUCAAGAACGGGUGUGAGAGUGGAAAGUUCACACUGUGACGGUAGCUUACCAGAAAGGGACGGCUAACUACGUG
Molecule: ribosomal RNA, 497 nt
Filed under: uncultured bacterium
Lineage: Bacteria
Description: partial 16S ribosomal RNA
Rfam family: Bacterial small subunit ribosomal RNA
Source: RNAcentral